This is a long non-coding RNA of Prinia subflava (tawny-flanked prinia), 916 nucleotides long. RefSeq lists it as uncharacterized. Lineage: Eukaryota; Metazoa; Chordata; Aves; Passeriformes; Cisticolidae. The transcript has 3 exons. The record is from RefSeq and is a predicted model, not a curated record.
UUGAGUGCAGAAGACAUUUUUGCUCUAAGGAAUUUACUCAGGAACCUCAUUAGUGUUCUACAUGACAUGAAUUCACCUCCUGAGACAUGUAACGAUCACGCUGGAUCAGUGCAUCUGGAUGAUUGCAAGAUUCUUCUUUAAUAACCAGGAAACAAGAACUGCAGUUGCCUUCUGUGGUAUCAAGUGCAGGUGAACAGUUGUGGAAUUCUGAGGCAGCUUCCAGCUGCUUGAAGGGAUUCAAAGAUGAAAGAGAGAAAUCUGGUUGUCUCCAUCCUGGAAAUUCAAUGCAACUGAGCUGAUGUGACUGCGGUGUCCAUGAGCCACUCACAUGUCUUUUAGGGGUAAGUGUUCAGGGUUUUUUUUGGUUUUUUUAAUUGAUGGAAUGAAAUGAGAAUGUCCAUAUUGACAGUUCAUGUCCUGUGGACAAGAGCUUCUUGGGACGUCCUCAUGAAUUUCCCUGUAACUGUGCAGUAAUCCCACUAUACCUGUGUCUAUGAACUUUAUAUAUCUGAUUCUGAAUUGGGUGUUUGUUUCUUGCUUGUAAAUAUGUAAAAAAUCAAGUGGGCCUGAUUUUAAUUCCUGGGAAUCUUGACAAACUCUGGUGACAGUCAUUGGUUGGCUUUCUGACAGAAAACAGAUACCAUUUCUCACACCUAGUUUUUAUUUUCUAUAUUUUGCUUUUUUAUAUUGCAAACUCAGUGCCAGGGAGUGUGAUCCAACCCACAGCAGGAUUCCAUCAGGGCCCAAGCCCAUACUGUGUUGUUCUCUGUUCCUGGUGCAGCCAGUGUUCAACAGGAACUGUAAAUCCAUUGUGAAUUUUUACCACAGCUAUAUGGAGUUGUCUCUAACUCAAGAUAGGGCCCACCAUUGUUUGUACAUAGUUCUUCAGUCCCCUGCCUUCCCAUCUAUCUUUUCC